AGAACGAACGCUGGCGGCAUGCCUAAUACAUGCAAGUCGAACGAAGGCUUCGGCCUUAGUGGCGCACGGGUGCGUAACGCGUGGGAAUCUGCCCCUUGGUUCGGAAUAACAGUUGGAAACGACUGCUAAUACCGGAUGAUGACGAAAGUCCAAAGAUUUAUCGCCAAGGGAUGAGCCCGCGUAGGAUUAGCUAGUUGGUGAGGUAAAGGCUCACCAAGGCGACGAUCCUUAGCUGGUCUGAGAGGAUGAUCAGCCACACUGGGACUGAGACACGGCCCAGACUCCUACGGGGAGCAGCAGUAGGGAAUAUUGGACAAUGGGCGAAAGCCUGAUCCAGCAAUGCCGCGUGAGUGAUGAA
This 358-nucleotide ribosomal RNA is filed under the name uncultured soil bacterium. RNAcentral's name for it is "bacterial SSU rRNA". It matches the Rfam family "Bacterial small subunit ribosomal RNA", at positions 26 to 412 of the family's 1533-position model. The record is from RNAcentral.